This 465-nucleotide ribosomal RNA is filed under the name uncultured bacterium. Its description in RNAcentral is "bacterial SSU rRNA". It matches the Rfam family "Bacterial small subunit ribosomal RNA", at positions 82 to 518 of the family's 1533-position model. The record is from RNAcentral.
CGGUAGAACCUUAGUGGCGAACGGGUGAGUAACGCGUAGGCAACCUGCCCCCCGGACUUGGGACAACACCCCGAAAGGGGUGGCUAAUACCGGAUACGAAGAUAAUACCGCAUGGUGUAUUUUGAAAGAUGGCCUCUACAGGUAAGCUAGUCGCCGGGGGAUGGGCCUGCGUCCGAUUAGCUGGUUGGUGGGGUAACGGCCCACCAAGGCGACGAUCGGUAGCCGGUCUGAGAGGAUGAACGGCCACAUUGGGACUGAGACACGGCCCAGACUCCUACGGGAGGCAGCAGUGGGGAAUCUUCCGCAAUGGGCGCAAGCCUGACGGAGCAACGCCGCGUGAGUGAGGAAGUUUUUCGGAAAACCGUAAAGCUCUGUUGUACAUGACGAACGUGCGAUCUGUCAACAACGGAUGGCAGUGACGGUAGUGUACGAGGAAGCCACGGCUAACUACGUGCCAGCAGCCGC